This 612-nucleotide ribosomal RNA is filed under the name Micrococcus luteus. RNAcentral's name for it is "bacterial SSU rRNA". It matches the Rfam family "Bacterial small subunit ribosomal RNA", at positions 92 to 718 of the family's 1533-position model. Lineage: Bacteria; Bacillati; Actinomycetota; Actinomycetes; Micrococcales; Micrococcaceae. The record is from RNAcentral.
UUAGUGGCGAACGGGUGAGUAACACGUGAGUAACCUGCCCUUAACUCUGGGAUAAGCCUGGGAAACUGGGUCUAAUACCGGAUAGGAGCGCCUACCGCAUGGUGGGUGUUGGAAAGAUUUAUCGGUUUUGGAUGGACUCGCGGCCUAUCAGCUUGUUGGUGAGGUAAUGGCUCACCAAGGCGACGACGGGUAGCCGGCCUGAGAGGGUGACCGGCCACACUGGGACUGAGACACGGCCCAGACUCCUACGGGAGGCAGCAGUGGGGAAUAUUGCACAAUGGGCGCAAGCCUGAUGCAGCGACGCCGCGUGAGGGAUGACGGCCUUCGGGUUGUAAACCUCUUUCAGUAGGGAAGAAGCGAAAGUGACGGUACCUGCAGAAGAAGCACCGGCUAACUACGUGCCAGCAGCCGCGGUAAUACGUAGGGUGCGAGCGUUAUCCGGAAUUAUUGGGCGUAAAGAGCUCGUAGGCGGUUUGUCGCGUCUGUCGUGAAAGUCCGGGGCUUAACCCCGGAUCUGCGGUGGGUACGGGCAGACUAGAGUGCAGUAGGGGAGACUGGAAUUCCUGGUGUAGCGGUGGAAUGCGCAGAUAUCAGGAGGAACACCGAUGGCGA